Long non-coding RNA from Lycium barbarum (goji berry), 2024 nucleotides. RefSeq lists it as uncharacterized. The transcript has 8 exons. NCBI's taxonomy places the organism in Eukaryota, Viridiplantae, Streptophyta, Magnoliopsida, Solanales, Solanaceae. The record is from RefSeq and is a predicted model, not a curated record.
UACUCAUCUGGUCUGUUCUCUCUCGAGCUUUUCUUUCAAAAAAUUCUGGUCAUCCUUUCAAUAAAUUGGCUGCUUUGGUUCCAGUUUUCCUUUCUGAGAUGCUGUUAAUUUUUAUUCUCCUUUUAGAUUUCUCUACUUUGGUUCUUGGGUGGUUGGAAUAUAUAUAUAUUUGUACGUGAAUCUUCAACAAUUUUUAACCAAGUUCUCAACUUCUACUGAUUUCUCCUUCAACCGUUUGCUCAAUGUUGUGAGUGUGCUUUGGUGUUGGUUGCUUUCAUCGUUGCUUCAACUGUCUGCUCUUUUUUCUCGACUUCAGGGCAGGGAGAAAGCAAAAGAGUGGACAAGCAGAUGGAAAAAAUCGGCUUGUUUUAGGAAAGAAAGUCAAAUAUGGAAGUCAAAACUCUUCAGGAGAAAAAACUCACUUCCGUCCUCAUUGCACAAAUGAAGUAAUGGUGUGAUUGAGACCACGGAUAGGGAACUGCGAACUUACCCGAGGAAAACGAUUACUGAUGGAACUUCUAUUUGAAACCUGGCUUCUUCUCUGCUUUGCCGAAUUUUAAUAGUACAUCAAGAUUUUGUUGCUGGUUUUCAGAAUAGGCAGCAAAUAAAAAUUCGUUGAUCAUCGACAAAUUUGGCUGACUUAUAGCUUUCCAAAGGCAAAGCAUGGAAUUUAUGUGCUAGCUUGUAUCUGCUAACUGCGCAUUGGAGGAUGUUAAAUAGUCUUAUGAGACUGCUGGAAAAGGUUGGGUUGUGGAGAUGUUGGAAGUGGCUACUUGGCUGAACUGAGUCGAACCAAAUGUUACUUUGCUAUGGAAGUCACACAUAAAGUAGCUGCCACAAAGCAUCUUCGUGCUCAGACAAAAAGAGAAAUUUUACAGUCCCUUGAUCAUCUUCUUCUUCCAUCACUCUACAGACACUGCGAGACUGAUAAGUUCUCAUGUUUGGUCAUGGAUUCUACCCUGGAGGGGAUUUCCACACUCUUACGCAGAGAGCCAAGGAAACAUAUUUCUGAACAAGCGGUGAAGUAUAACCUCCUUUCAGUCUUUGGUGACACGUGUUUCAUCACUUGGUUUUGUGGGACAGCUGGCUUCAUUUCCUCUGUACAUCUUGAACCCAUGUGUCUAUUCCUUUUUCCUCUGCAUCGUUACUUGUUGUUUGGAGCAUUCAGAGGAAUCAGAUAUGUCUUAUGAUGUUGUGAUGGUUUAGACAUUUUUCGGGCUGUCUUAUGAUGUUGUGAUGGUUUAGACAUUUUUCGGGCUGGCCAAUUUAUGAGGUGCUCUAUAACUUAGUCUUCUAUCAUGCAGGAACUCCAAAGGAAAAGAUGUCCGGAGAGCAUAAAAGAGCAAAAUGGACCAAAAUAGAACAAAAUAUAACAAAAUAGAGCCAAGAUAGCUGAAGUGAACCAGAGCACCACCUGCGAAUCGCAGGUACUGCAUGCGAGUCGCAGGUGGUGCAGCAUCUGUUGACAGAGAAUGGCCAAAUAAAAUAAGACAAUGAUGCAACACAUGCGAUUCGCAUGUGGAACCCGCGAGUCGCAUCCUGUGUCGCAGAUGCUGCACCUCGGCUGAUUUAUGAGAUAUUGAUGCUCUAUCCAGUUUUAUGUGAUUUAGAAGUGAUCGGAAGAAACCAAGUGAAAAGAAAGUCAAAAAGAGGCCAAACUGGACAUUUUUGCAAAACUGUCAAAACUGGACAGUUUUGCAAAAACGGGACAAAUUUGCAAAACUGAAACUUUGGGGUUUAUUUUGUCAUUGUUUGGACUUGGAAAAGUCUGGGCAUAAAAGAGAGGCUUAGGGCAACAAAACAUUUUCAUCUUUGGCAGUUUUUCAUCAAGUUUGGAGACUAGUUUUUACACCACACUUUGGGGUUGAAGAUUUGAAGAUUUGGUUGAGUAUUUCUUAAACCUUUAAUUCAUUUCUUCAAUUCCUUGCUUUGUAGUGUAUAUCUAAGUGUGUAGCUUUCUAUUCCAUAACUUGAAUCUCGUUUAUGAAAGUAUUCUUGAUUAAAGUUUGGUUUGAAACUCUUGU